AGAAGAGCUGCAUUUGAUAUUUAUAAACUCAUAACCUGUGAGGAAUGGAGAUGAAGCAAAAAGUAGAGUGGGCUGAAGCUCAGAAGAUUGUGCUAAGCAAAGACCUUGUGCUGCAGCCAAACAACAGCUGCAAUUUCUGGCAGUUGUUGAUCGAAAUCGGCAACUCUAUGAAGGCCCUGCUUGGUACAAGGCCAUUUACAGGUACUGAUAUUGUUGGCUUCCCUUGCUUGCCAAACAUACUGAAUCUGAGGUUACAGAAACUCCUCUAGUUGUGCCUCUUGAUUGUGAAUGGAUUUGGCACUGUCAUAGGCUCAAUCCGGUAGACUUCUCAGAUAAAAUCUCGUUCAACCUUUCUGUGUUCUAGUGUGAGUUCUAUACAUUCAGUCACAAUACCAAGCUACAUUACUUCGAUGGUUUUUCA
Long non-coding RNA from Rosa chinensis, 421 nucleotides. RefSeq lists it as uncharacterized. Lineage: Eukaryota; Viridiplantae; Streptophyta; Magnoliopsida; Rosales; Rosaceae. The record is from RefSeq and is a predicted model, not a curated record. The transcript is spliced from 3 exons.